Molecule: ribosomal RNA, 207 nt
Rfam family: Bacterial small subunit ribosomal RNA
CGUGUAGGCGGGAUUGCAAGUCAGAUGUGAAAUGUCGGGGCUUAACUCCGAAGCUGCAUCUGAAACUGCAGUUCUUGAGUGCUGGAGAGGAAAGCGGAAUUCCUAGUGUAGCGGUGAAAUGCGUAGAUAUUAGGAGGAACACCAGUGGCGAAGGCGGCUUUCUGGACAGUAACUGACGCUGAGGCGCGAAAGCGUGGGGAGCAAACA